AGUUGUGCCCAAAAGUUUGCAUACCUCUUACAGAAUCUGCUAAAUCUUUAUACUGUUAACAAAAUAAGACGGAUCAUAAAAAUCCCGUUAUUUUUUAUUUAGUUCUGUCCUGAAUAAUCUAUUUCACAUAACAGAUGUUUACAUAUAGUGCACAAGACAAGAUAAUAGCUGAAUUUAUAAAUAUUACCCCGUUCAAAAGUUUACACACCCUUGCUUCUUAAUACUGUGUGUUGUCACCUGGAUGAUCAGCGACUGUGUUUAUGUUUUGUGAUAGUUGUUCAUGAGUCCGUUGUUUGUUCUGAGCAGUUAAACUGCCCACUGUUCUUCAGAAAAAUCUUCCAGGUCCUGCACAUUCUUUGCUUUUUCAGGAUCUUCUACAUAUUUGAGCCCUUUCCAACAGCGGUUGAGAUCCCAUCUUUUCACACAGAGGACAACUGAGGGACUCGUACACAACUAUUACAUAAGGUGCACACACUCACUGAUGUUCAAGAAGGCAACAUGAUAUGUUAAGAGCCAGGGGUGUAAACUUUUGAACAGGAUGAUGAGUGUAAAUUAUUAUUAUUUUGUUUAAAUAUCUUUUUUUUAUUUUUUAUUAGUAUUGCCCUUCAGAUGCUGAAUAAGAUAGUUACAUGUCUCCCGGAAGACAAAAUACUUGCAAUUUACAAUGAUCCUUCUGUUAAAAAGUUUACAUCCCCCUGCCUCUUAAUGUGUUGCUUUCUUGAGCAUCAGUGAAUGUUUGAACCUUUUGCAAUAGUCGUGUUCAAGUCCCUCAGUUGUCCUCAGUGUGAAAAGAUGGAUCUCAACAUCGUAUAGACACUGAAUUAUACAAAUAGACAAAACUUUCUAACCUGCACUCGUUUACGUCUCUUCCGUUUAUUCCAUUCUUUCUUCAACUACCUUAACAAUCAACGGCCCUGGGUCACUGCUGCCACCUUGUGGAACAACUACAUAGUGCAAAAGAAUUAAAUGCACACGUGCGACCGCAUGUACUUAAAGAGUAUAAGGAUUUGUCUAAGGGUGCUAAUCUUGGCGAGAGAUUGCCCAAGCAUUGUUCUUCGUGUUGUUGUGAUUCUUCUUCAUUGUCGUCCUUCACACCAGAAGACCUGCUUUACUGCUCUGUACUGACACUUGUAGGCCAGGAGGUGUAGUGCAAGUUGCCGUUAUUCACAUGCGUCAACUGUUUGUGUACACGUACAUGUCAAAUUGAGUAUGCUUUGAAAGGCUCACACAAAAUGAUAAGAGGACACACAUAACUUCUUUAGGAGGUAUUUUAAUUUCAUCAUUGCAAACCAUGCUUGUUUCCUCUCACCAAUAUUUAAAACAGAACGCAAGGCACACAUUGCCGAACACGGACAUUCUUUUUGGGUUUGCUGGUGCUCAAAACAAGUAUUUUUCAGGACUUCCUACAUUUUUUUGCUGCUGUUGUGGCAGCCAACAACAGCACAGCUUGACCCUGAACUCAUGUUUAUUCUUAUGAACACUCAAAAAGUUUCUGUUUAAUUAAUUCAAAUCAUUCUCUUCAGCCAAUUUUAAUAAGGGUUCCUAUAGAGACUGGAGCAGAAAAACAGUGGUUAGAAUCCAUCAUGGUGAAGCUCACUGGUUUCUUGGGAAAAAGGUGGAUAUGACCGUAUAUUCAGUAGCCACGUUUCUUCAAAUACACAGUAACAGCUAUGUUACAGCAGUGUACUUAGCUGGCUAGUUCUGUGGUUUCUCUAUAAUGAAAAUCAACCCCCAGAAGUGCUAACUGUUGAUUUUGAGUGCUGGGGUACUUUUAAGAACGUGGUAGUUGCGUAACCUUGGUAGAGAGUCUAGUUCUUUGUACUUGUUUAAUAAAGAGGUUAUAUGAGGAGAUUCCUGCCGAGUAAAGGGCAUCUCAAUGUACAAUCAAAUCUGAAUAGUUUGGCAAAUGCUGCAGGGCCUCUAGUUUCAGUAUUAGGAGACAUUAAAGGCUCCCAUUUCACGCUCUCCAUUGUGUCAAAUUGGUAUGCUAAUGAACCUGUGGAUAGUGCCAAGUGUAAAAGCUGAACGACUGUGUGAACUUCCACAGCAGUUGACCAAACUUUAUCUUACAUAUUUAGCAAUGGAAGAAUAUGGGCCUGUUUUACUAUUCCAGAGGCUUUCUCAGACCCGUGAAACCUACAGUAAAUUCUUUCUGGUUGUUUCUUAUGUUUAAUCUCUUCAAAAAAAUAACACAGUAACAUCUUCCAUUUAAAAAUACCACAAAGACUGAAGUGCAUGUUGGCCCAGAUGGAUUUGUUUGGCUUUACGUAACGUCUUAUUAUUCAUGCAGGAGAUUUUGUGGGUAUUAUAACAGUGGAGUGAAAAAAAAAUCUUUUCACAGUAGUGACUUUCUUUGUUGUAGUUGCAAUCAAAUCUCAAAUGUAACCCUGGAAUGAAUUUAUAUAAAGAUCAUCAAGCAAAGUACACAUUUCACAAACAUUUUCUUCUGUGAACAUUUUAAUGUAUGUUGCGUCAACAUCUGCAACAACUCAUUACUCAACAGUGCCAAUCCUGUUUUAAAAAUAUUGUUUAAUUGAAGAAGAAAAAGGCCUUCUGUCCAUUUUUGAGUGCCUCGUUAAAUUGUUUUCUUCCUAAGGCCUGUUAAUUAGGGUUUCUAUUUCUUAAGAUUGAUGACUAUGGAGGAGGGCUGCUUGCCUGCUUCUUUGCUGACUGGAUGGGUUUUGCUAAUGCCAGCUGUAAACGCAGUGGUGUGUAAGAUUUGGCAGGCAGCAGCUUUCCCCACGAGUCAGCUGAGCAUUGUGACCCAAGAAAAUAGUGUCCCUUUCUACCCGGCUACAUUUCAGCUCUAAAAAGAAAAGGCUGAACUGGUUAGGACCCCUUGUAACAUCCAUUGUCACUGGUUUAGUUUUUUACCCAUCAUCCAAGUAGAGGUGUGCAAUAUGUAUCGUCUAAGAUAAUAUUGUAAUUGUUGUUUUAACGAUGUGCGAGCUGACAUUAUCGAGUACGUCAUGCAUGUUGCAAAAACCAGUCAACAAACUGCCUUGAGUCUCCACACAUUCACUGCAUGAUGUAGCCUAGUAGGAUAGACUACCGCGCAUGUGCACUGGUAGUGCACACUUACACAGCGUGAUGCAGUGUGCUGGCGUAGCUGCCUAAAAAUGCAUGAUAAAGUUAAAAAUACCCCUACAUCCAAGGAGCUUGUAAUGCCUUGACUUAUUGCAACUAGAUAUUAGAUGACUGAAAAUACUCACAGAUCAUACUGAACCUGAUAUGACUCCUGCUCCUGGUGAUAGGAUGCUAGUAUGGCUUAACACUUAUUAAGAAGCAAUUUUAAGUAGCUAAAUUUCUGAUAAAUAAGCAGAUAUACAGUGGAUAUAUUUCCAGUGAGGUUAUUCACAUGAAAUUUUCAUCAGACAUCAGUAUAAACUCAAAAAAUCUGGAAAUAUAAAGAAUUCUCAACAUUACAUUCCAUAAAUAAAGUUAUGUGGAAUAAAGUGGAAUGACACGGGAAAAAAGCACUGAACACGCUAAGAAAAAGCAGUUCUCCAAGGCAAGAUAAGGCAAGGAACCAGCUGAAAUCUAUAAGUAAUUAUACCCCCCAUCUGUGCAAAUGAAUAUCAGCUGGGUUAGUAAAUUGAUGGUCUAUAAAAAGGCUUUUCGUUACCAAGGUGUCACACAAGAAACAUCUCAUGAUGGGUAAAAGCAAAGAGCUCUCGCAAGACCUUCAAACCUUAUUGUUGUGAAACAUAUUGAUGUAAUCAGAUACAGACGUAUUUCAGAAUAAUCCUCCAAUAAGCAUCAUUGUGGCCAUUAUCCACAAGUGGAAGCAACAUCACUCCGUCAUCAACCGGCCACGCACAGGAGCUCCUCACAAGAUUUCUGACCAGGGAGUCAGAAGAACAGUCAGAAGAGUAGCCUAAGAGCCAAGGAACACUCGGAAAGAGCUCCAGAAACACUUGGAGGCAGCAGGUGCCAUCGUCACAGAGAAAACAAUAGGCAGUGCACUCCACUGCUCACGCUCACCCGCAAGACUCCAUUACUAAAGAAAAGGCAUGUCGAAGCUCGUUUAAAGUUUACUACAACUCAUCUGGACAAGCCUAUGAGAUACUGGGAGAGUGUAGUCUGGUCAGACGAGAGCAGAAUUUAACUUUUCAGCUGUGAUACUACACACCAUGUUUGGAGAAGAAAUGUCACUGCACAUCUCCCUAAAAACACUACACCAACAGUGAAGUGUGGAGGUGAAGCAUCAUGGUGUGGGCUGUUUUUCAUCACAUGCUACUGGCAGACUUCAUAUAACUGAAGGAACGAUGAAUGGAGUCCUUUACGGGAGAUUCUUUAGAAGAAUCUGCUGCAUCCACCAGGAUGAUGAAGAUGAGACAUGGGUGGAGCUUCCAGCAGGACAACGAUCCAAAACAUACAGCAAAGGAAACUCUCAAUUGGUUUCAGAGAAAAUAAAUCAAGGUGUUAGAAUGGCCCUGUCAAUCACCUGACUCAAAUCCAACUGAACAAGAUUUAAAGACAAUAUGUUUAGAAGAACGGACCAAAAUCACACCUGAAUACUGCGGAACAUUAAUCUCUUCAUACAGGAAGUGUCUUGAAGCUGUGAUUACAAACAAAGACUUCUCCACUAAGUAUUAAAUACAUUUCAGUUAGCGUGUUCAAUACUUUUUUCCCGUGUCAUUCCACUUUAUUACACAUAAUGUCUGGGUUACACAUGCAACCCUGUUCCCUGAGAAGGGAACGAGACGUUGCGUGAGCUACAUGCUGUGGGAAGCGCCCUUGUGCGUGACCAGUAUCUGAAGCUUGUGUAACAUCUAGGGAUCUAGGGAUGUCACGGUACCAAGUCAGUACCAAAACGUUAAAACGUGACGAUAUUCGUUUUUCUGCAGUAGGGUAGGUACGGUUGGUAAUGAAGAUACCGAGGUUGCAAUUCUUCUAGAACUGAAGGGGGCAGCAAAUACGCGUAAGUGUUUUAGUUGGUCCACAAGUGGUGAAGAACGCCUACAAACACAAGGGAAAAACUACAGAGGAUGGCGACAAGUUUAGCUCCGCCCUGACUCAAAAGGUAUUAUGGAAAUACUUCGCAUUCGAGGCGGAUGACAACAAACAUAUAAUUGAUGCUCUGAAGCCGGUGUGCAACCGAUGCUAUUGUUCAUUUCAAACAAAGCGAGGAAACACCUGGAAUUUGGCGAAGCACCUGUAGCACCUGAAGCACCGGUCCUAUUUUAUGUUUGUUUGCGGCAGCUGCAUUGUGGCCAUGAAACCAGCUAGCGUUAUGCUCCAUGUAAUUUUAGCAAUAGCCAGUUAUUCAGAGUAUAAGGGGUGUGUGGGUGUGCGUGUGCGCAUGUGUUUAGGAGUGCACCUUAGCACUUGUAGCCUCUACUGUUUUAUUAGUUAUUGUCAGACAGUGUUUGAUAACUAAAAUAUCUCUCUCUCUCUCUCUCUUUCUCUCUCUCUCUCUCUGUCAGUAUUAGCCAGAGGAGGAUGUCCUUUGUUUUAUCAGCUGAUAAACAGUCCGUACAGGAUUUCGCAGACAUUUUUUUAUUCUCAUGGCCAAAAAUGCUUGACUUUGCUGUGGCUUUUUCAAAAAUGUUCGAUGCAACUGGCAGAUUUCUUUUAAAAAACUACUUGAAUUGGCGAAAUUGCAGUUGCAUGAAAUUGUUUUGCACAGUCUUUCAUAGUGAUGUCUGUUGGUAAAUGAGACCUUUCAGCUGUACUCAUGUUCGACGCACUUCAAUUGAAGAGAGCUUUGGCUGAAUGGGCGUUGUGAUGACGUCACAUGAUAAGUCUCGGCCCAAAUCUUUGGAAAAUCUGCUGUAAUUUAAAAAAAUCGCAAGCUCCCCCAAAUACUGCGGAUUUUGCUUGAUUUUGCAUUCAUUUCUUCCACAAAAUCAUGAAAAUUCAUUUAAAAAAUUUAAUUUUCUAAAAUUUCUCAAAUCUAAUUUUCCUUCGCACAGUCGCUAAAUUCUAGCGGAACUGGAUAAAGAACCUUAAAGUUGCAGUUUGUAAUGUGUAAAAGUGUUCUUAGAUUUAUAGUAAUAUAAAAAAUAUGAUUCACAACAGUGCCGUGGAAUGGAUUUCAAUAGU
This is a long non-coding RNA of Ictalurus punctatus (channel catfish), 6048 nucleotides long. NCBI's taxonomy places the organism in Eukaryota, Metazoa, Chordata, Actinopteri, Siluriformes, Ictaluridae. The record is from Ensembl.